UCCCCCCGUGUUUAUACCCUUGCCCCGAGGGCACUGACUGCCACGUGAUCGCUGCCGGCGGCCAUUCUGCGUGAGGGCACCACGCACCAGAAUCAAACAUGGCGCUCCACGUUUACUCCCGCUGCUCAUCUCCGCCCAGGAGAAGUUGGCUAUUGGAUAAGAGAGCCCAGAAACCCUUCCUGAUUGGUCCGUUGGUUGUCCCGCCCACCAAGCCCGGGGCUGGCGUCCCCGCACUCUCUCGCGGGGCGGGGUCUCGGGAGUGAUGGGUGCGGAGGGUGGUAUUUGGGGGACUUAAUUUCUUCCAGUUGCGUUUCCAGGUUUCGUUCGGAGCGUGGUUCUGACCUUAUCUCAGUCGGCCCUCUGGCGCUACCAGUGUCAGGUUUGGGAUAGCAGACUGCAGCCCCAGCCCUGCGGGUGUCCCAGUGGUCGCAGGUGGCAAAACCAAGGCAUGGAACUUGAGGAAGUCACGUGCGCAAGAGGCACGCAGUAAAAUAAGAAAUGGGAAGUGCACCAGUGGGAACAGGCCCGUUGGUAUGGGCGCUGCUAGGACAGCUCUACAACCACAGAGAGGUCCUGAACUGAAAAAUAGUAAGAAUGGUCCCCUAGAUAAUUUGCCAUGUGCUGUAUCAUAACUACCUGUUCAGCCUUCAGAACUGUUGUUUUUGAUGCUGAAGUCUUCAGCUUUCCAAAUACGGAACAAGAAGGACAUAGUUUUUCAUUUUUGUACUUGAAUAUUCUCCAGCAGUGUCUAAUUUUACCUAACUAAGAAUUACCUUUGGAGAGAAAGAUCAUUGUUUCUGUUAUCAAAAUUAUGGGAUAAUAAAUAUAACUUUGAAUGA
Pseudopipra pipra is the source of this 839-nucleotide long non-coding RNA. RefSeq lists it as uncharacterized. The record is from RefSeq and is a predicted model, not a curated record. The transcript has 2 exons. NCBI's taxonomy places the organism in Eukaryota, Metazoa, Chordata, Aves, Passeriformes, Pipridae.